AUCGCUUCUCGGCCUUUUGGCUAAGAUCAAGUGUAGUAUCUGUUCUUAUCAGUCUAAAUGUAGAGAGUUGUCAGUUUAUCUGCUUCUAAUCGGUCAGAUUUCACAUUUUAAGUAGGUAUUCAUUAAACAUAGUUCUCUACCUCAGGCUACUGGAUUUCCUAAGAGAUGACUGCACAGCUUCAUACAAUGGUUCCUUCU
Physeter macrocephalus (sperm whale) is the source of this 198-nucleotide small nuclear RNA. Its record names the gene U2. It matches the Rfam family "U2 spliceosomal RNA". From Rfam's summary of the family: U2 is a small nuclear RNA (snRNA) component of the spliceosome (involved in pre-mRNA splicing). The record is from Ensembl. NCBI's taxonomy places the organism in Eukaryota, Metazoa, Chordata, Mammalia, Artiodactyla, Physeteridae.